AAAACUGCAUCUGGAUUGAUC
RNAcentral lists this microRNA (21 nucleotides) under Ornithorhynchus anatinus (platypus). RNAcentral's name for it is "oan-miR-1422i-3p". Lineage: Eukaryota; Metazoa; Chordata; Mammalia; Monotremata; Ornithorhynchidae. The record is from miRBase by way of RNAcentral.